CUCCCUACGGGGCGCAGCAGUGGGGAAUAUUGGGCAAUGGGCGCAAGCCUGACCCAGCAACGCCGCGUGAAGGAAGAAGGCUUUCGGGUUGUAAACUUCUUUUCUUAGGGACGAAGAAAGUGACGGUACCUGAGGAAUAAGCCACGGCUAACUGCGUGCCAGCAGCCGCGGUAAUACGUAGGUGGCAAGCGUUAUCCGGAUUUACUGGGUGUAAAGGGCGUGUAGGCGGGGAAGCAAGUCAGAUGUGAAAACCAAGGGAUCAACCUGUGGCAUGCGUUUGAAAUUGUUUUUUUUGAGUAAUGGGG
Molecule: ribosomal RNA, 305 nt
Filed under: uncultured bacterium
Lineage: Bacteria
Description: bacterial SSU rRNA
Rfam family: Bacterial small subunit ribosomal RNA
Source: RNAcentral